UACGGAGGAUGCAAGCGUUAUCCGGAAUGAUUGGGCGUAAAGCGUCCGCAGGUGGCACUGUAAGUCUGCUGUUAAAGAGCAAGGCUCAACCUUGUAAAGGCAGUGGAAACUACAGAGCUAGAGUACAUUCGGGGCAGAGGGAAUUCCUGGUGUAGCGGUGAAAUGCGUAGAGAUCAGGAAGAACACCGGUGGCGAAAGCGCUCUGCUAGGCCGUAACUGACACUGAGGGACGAAAGCUAGGGGAGCGAAUGGG
This 253-nucleotide ribosomal RNA is filed under the name uncultured bacterium. RNAcentral describes it as "partial 16S ribosomal RNA". It matches the Rfam family "Bacterial small subunit ribosomal RNA", at positions 524 to 776 of the family's 1533-position model. The record is from RNAcentral.